Molecule: ribosomal RNA, 718 nt
Filed under: uncultured fungus
Lineage: Eukaryota; Fungi
Description: SSU rRNA
Rfam family: Eukaryotic small subunit ribosomal RNA
Source: RNAcentral
CGUGUGGUUCUAUUUUGUUGGUUUCUAGGACCGCCGUAAUGAUUAAUAGGGACAGUCGGGGCCGUGUGUAUUCAAUUGUCAGAGGUGAAAUUCUUGGAUCUAUUGAAGACAAAUUACUGCGAAAGCAUUCGGCAAGGAUGUUUUCAUUGAUAAGGAACGAAAGUUAGGGGAUCGAAGACGAUCAGAUACCGUCGUAGUCUUAACUAUAAACUAUGCCGACUAGGGAUCGGACGAUGUUAUUUUUUGACUCGUUCGGCACCUUUCGAGAAAUCAAAGUGCUUGGGCUCCAGGGGGAGUAUGGUCGCAAGGCUGAAACUUAAAGAAAUUGACGGAAGGGCACCACCAGGGGUGGAACCUGCGGCUUAAUUUGACUCAACACGGGGAAACUCACCAGGUCCAGACACAGUGAGGAUUGACAGAUUGAUAGCUCUUUCUUGAUUCUGUGGGUGGUGGUGCAUGGCCGUUCUUAGUUGGUGGAGUGAUUUGUCUGCUUAAUUGCGAUAACGAACGAGACCUUAACCUGGUAAAUAGCCCCUAUUGCCUCGGCAGUAGGCUGGCUUUUUAGAGGGACUAUCGGCUCAAGCCGAUGGAAGUUUGAGGCAAUAACAGGUCUGUGAUGCCAUUAGAUGUCCUGGGCCGCACGCGCGUUACACUGACAAAGCCAGCGAGUAUUUCCUUGGCCGGAAGGCCCGGGUAAUCUUGUUAAACUUUGUCGUGC